UAGGGAAUUUUCGUCAAUGGGCGCAAGCCUGAACGAGCGAUGCCGCGUGAGUGAAGAAGGCCUUCGGUCGUAAAGCUCUGUUGCGGGGGAAAAAGGACAGCAUCAGGAAAUGGGUGCUGACUGAUGGUGCCCCGCCAGAAAGUCACGGCUAACUACGUGCC
RNAcentral lists this ribosomal RNA (161 nucleotides) under uncultured bacterium. RNAcentral's name for it is "partial 16S ribosomal RNA". It matches the Rfam family "Bacterial small subunit ribosomal RNA", at positions 355 to 509 of the family's 1533-position model. The record is from RNAcentral.